AAGGAAUAUUGGUCAAUGGGCGCAAGCCUGAACCAGCCAUGCCGCGUGCAGGAAGACGGCCCUACGGGUUGUAAACUGCUUUUGUACCGGAAUAAACCUUUCUUCGUGAAGAGAGCUGAAUGUACGGUAAGAAUAAGGAUCGGCUAACUCCGUGCCAGCAGCCGCGGUAAUACGGAGGAUCUAAGCGUUAUCCGGAUUUAUUGGGUUUAAAGGGUGCGUAGGUGGCCUAUUAAGUCAGGGGUGAAAGACGGUAGCUUAACUAUCGCAGUGCCUUUGAUACUGAUGGGCUUGAAUACAGAUGAAGUGGGCGGAAUGUGACAAGUAGCGGUGAAAUGCAUAGAUAUGUCACAGAACACCGAUUGCGAAGGCAGCUCACUAAAUUGUGAUUGACACUGAGGCACGAAAGCGUGGGGAUCAAAC
This 420-nucleotide ribosomal RNA is filed under the name uncultured bacterium. RNAcentral describes it as "bacterial SSU rRNA". It matches the Rfam family "Bacterial small subunit ribosomal RNA", at positions 356 to 773 of the family's 1533-position model. The record is from RNAcentral.